AAAAAAUCUCUCCUGUGAAACAGUGACUGUAAAGUCUGGCUUCCACCCAAGCCACAGGAACUUUAAACAGUCUGCGGGCUCAGCGGCCACAGACAGGUUCAAACUGAGUGGGAUGAAAGCUGCUCCCAGGUUUUCAAUCUGAGGUCGCAGAAACCCUUCAAGUUUCCCCAUCUCUCUCUGAGGGUUCAUGAGGAAAAUAACACUGAGUUGUAUUGUGACCUCUGCCCAGUGAUGGGAAAAUAGUUCCAGUUAUUAUAUUGCGUUGAUGGCCGCAUACGUUCCAUCAGCUAAAGCAAAAUGAAGAUUGAGUGGGCUGUAAAGCCUGCGCUGGAGAUCAUGUCAGCACUCAGAACAGAAUUAAGAUAAUUUCAAUUUCAUUUCGGCAAAAGAGUACAUUCAUUCUGGUCUUUCAUACUUUUCCCAUGAAAAAGUUAGCAAUCUGAUUAAUGAUAUCAAGGCUUUGGAAUAAUAGGAAGAAGAGAAUGUGCCAGAAACACAUUGAUAUGAAGUUUAAACCAGCUUAAACCAUUCUCCAUAAAUAAUUGAAACAACUUCUAACAAAAGUCCUUACAGAAGCAUCAUUGUUCGAAAGAAAAGAAUGUAACAGUCUGAAGUAAAAUGCUGAGAUCGUCUCUCUGCAGAAGGAACAAAUAAUAAUUAAUAUGUAUAACACUGAUUGAAAACCUGCCUUUAGUCUUUGAAGAGCAUGACUAUAUGAUCUUUGGAGAAGAAUAUGACGUGCACACGGAAUGUACAAAGUUUGGACAACAUCUGUAGGAGAAGCUUGAGAAGAUCAGCUGUCACCAGGCCUGAUUCCUGUGGUGAAAGCCCACUGUUUUAGCUGAUUUUCUGAUGGAAUGAACUUGAGUUUCUUGAGAAAGGAGCAGCUGUAUAUUGUACAUGAGAGAAAGGAUGGUUAAAUAGACCAAAAUAUGUUCUGUACAAUCCCAGGUAUUCUUCUUACAAUCUGAUGUUGGAACUAUUUCAUGCAAUGACUGGAUCUACCACUAAUCCUCAAAGUCAGAUGGGACCUCAUUAUUAUCCAAUGGAAUACAACACAGAUGACUUAUGCAAUAUUUGGUGCUGGGUCAUGAAGAAGUCAAGCACAUUUGACUUGCUCUCUUAACACACUUGUUCUUGGAACUCAAACACUAGAAUGGGAGGAAGCCCAAGCAAAGUCCACAGGGAAAGGAAUGAAGGCCCUGGUUAACAGCACUGGAUGGUGUCCAGCCAGUAGCCUGUGAGUAACUUAUUAUAGAGAUAGAUAUUCCAGUCUCACAUCAAUCUAUUCCAGCUUAAGGUCAGUUGGUGCAAAUAAAAGUUGCUUCUGAUGCCUCAAGUACAAA
Molecule: long non-coding RNA, 1346 nt
Filed under: Mus musculus (house mouse)
Lineage: Eukaryota; Metazoa; Chordata; Mammalia; Rodentia; Muridae
Description: RIKEN cDNA 4930554C24 gene
Source: RNAcentral